GACAUGAUAGCAUAAUUGGUUAAUGUGUCUGCUCAACUUAUUCCAGGGAAGAUGAUUUAGCAGGAGAUCCCUGUUCAAUCCGGGGUUAGGUCA
Mycena vulgaris is the source of this 93-nucleotide non-coding RNA. The record is from the annotation of a GenBank genome assembly. Lineage: Eukaryota; Fungi; Basidiomycota; Agaricomycetes; Agaricales; Mycenaceae.